This 433-nucleotide ribosomal RNA is filed under the name uncultured bacterium. Its description in RNAcentral is "partial 16S ribosomal RNA". It matches the Rfam family "Bacterial small subunit ribosomal RNA", at positions 29 to 507 of the family's 1533-position model. The record is from RNAcentral.
AACGAACGCUGGCGGCAUGCCUAACACAUGCAAGUCGAACGAGAACUUCGGGUCUUGUGGCGCACGGGUGCGUAACGCGUCGGAAGAGGCACUUGGGUUCGGUAUAACUCCCAGAAAGGGAUACUAAUACCGAAUAAUGUCUUCGGCCCAAUGAUUUAUCGAAUUUGGAUGGGUGAGCGUUGGAUUAGCUAGUUGGUCAGGUAAAAGCCUACCAAGGUGAUGUUACAUAGCUGGUCUGAGAGGAUGACCCGCCACACUGGGACUGGGACACGGCGCGGACUCCUGCGGGAGGCAGCAAUGCGGAAUAUUGGACGAUGGGCGAAAGCCUGAUGCAGUAAGGCCGCGAGAGUGAUGAAGUACUUAAGGUUGUAAAGCUGUGUUACACGGGCAGAUAAUGACGGUACCGGGAGAAUAAGCUACGGCUAACUCCGUG